GAUGAACGCUGGCGGCGUGCCUAAUACAUGCAAGUCGUGCGGAAAGGCCCUUCGGGGUACUCGAGCGGCGGACGGCUGAGUAACGCGUGGGAAUCUGCCCUAAAGUGAGGAAUAACCUCGAGAAAUCGAGGCUAAUGCCGCAUAUGGUCUUCGGAUUAAAGCCUUCGGGCGCUUUAGGAGGAGCCCGCGUUCGAUUAGCUAGUUGGUGAGGUAAUGGCUCACCAAGGCUACGAUCGAUAACUGGUCUGAGAGGAUGAUCAGUCAGACUGGAACUGAGACACGGUCCAGACUCCUACGGGAGGCAGCAGUAAGGAAUAUUCCACAAUGGGCGAAAGCCUGAUGGAGCAACGCCGCGUGCAGGAUGAAGGCCCUCGGGUCGUAAACUGCUUUUAUAUGUGACGAAUAUGACGGUAGCAUAUGAAUAAGGGUCGGCUAACUACGUGCCAGCAGCCGCCGUAACAC
RNAcentral lists this ribosomal RNA (462 nucleotides) under uncultured bacterium. RNAcentral describes it as "bacterial SSU rRNA". It matches the Rfam family "Bacterial small subunit ribosomal RNA", at positions 28 to 526 of the family's 1533-position model. The record is from RNAcentral.